Molecule: long non-coding RNA, 2724 nt
Filed under: Olea europaea (common olive)
Lineage: Eukaryota; Viridiplantae; Streptophyta; Magnoliopsida; Lamiales; Oleaceae
Description: long non-coding RNA (OEUR_LNC004138)
Source: RNAcentral
UUUAAUUGUAAAUCACACAUACAGAAAGCUACACAGUAUCAAAAUAAUAGACAUGAUGUCCUAAUGUCUAUAAAUACCAAUACCACUCACAAAUGAACACACAUGAAGAAGAAAAACAAAGCACACUAUGACCAUUGUAUUAAAAAAUUUCCUCUCACAAACUCUGUAAAUUCAAAGACAUCUCUAUACAUUCAAAGACUUCAGGAUAAAGUAAGCUCUUUUCAAUCUUCUUGUUUGUAAUUUUCUUUUACCUUAUUUAUUUUCAGGCAAGACCUAACAAAGGAAACACCAAGUAAACAAUUAAUUUAUUCAAAAGAAAUUAUCUUUUCUAUUUUUAUAUAUAACACUCUUAGCCUCGUUAUUCUGAAUUCCAUGAUGAAAAAGAUAAAGUAAUCCUCUGAGUUAAGCUUGCUAUUUUUGUAUCCUAAUUUUGGGAGUUUGUUUAAACCUUUUUAAACAUGACGAAAAUAUUUUUAACUAUAGUCUUAAGCCUUUUUUUUAGAAGAUCAAGAAAAAAAGUUAAGAGAGAGUUUAAAAAAAUGAAGGAAUUAAUUGUUGAAUGGUAAAAUACUCUAAGACCAUUACAAACAUAUUGUUCUUAAAUUCUAAUAUCUUAUGCUAUUAGACAAUUAUAUUUCAUCUACUUUGCUUUGUUGUUCAGUAGAAAGUUUUAAAGAUUUUAUUAAUAUUUGUUUAGAAAAUUGAAAAAUUGAUAGAUUAACUGUUAUCGAAAAUCACAUGUUAUCCGUACUAGACAGAAAUAUAAGUAACUCCUCUUUAUAGAUUAAAAAGCAAAUCAUCGAGCUUUCUACCUUUUAGUGUCGGAGGUUUUUGAUAAAAUAUCCUAAAGAUUGUAAGAGAAAACAAAGAGACAUAAACAUUAAGAUAAAAUAAUAGUAAUACAAAGAUUCCUUUUUUAAGAGAGAAGAUUUUCUAAAAACUUCUUUCUAAUUGAUUUUCUAAAAAUUUUAAUUCACCUCUCUCCGCCCACACUUAAUUGAGGGGGGUAUGUGUGUACUACUUGAUAAUGUAGCAACACAAAAUUGUUAAGUUUUACUGAAUAAUCAAAUUUCAUGAAAUAAAAUGCCAUAAAAUAAUUUCUCGAAAUUUCAAACUAAAGUUAAUUUGGUUUUCUAUUUUUAAAAAUGAUCUUUCAGAAUGACAAAUCAAAUGCAUUUUUAAAAAUCUUAUAAUUAAAACUUGAAAAUGAAAUCAAAAUUGAAAAUUGAAACAUAAAUAAAUGGUCAAUUUAAAAACUUAUUUGAACUAUACCUCUUUCUUAACGUGAUGCGCAAAUAAUACAAAACUUGAGUUCGAAGAUCUCAACUCCAUACUUUUUAAUGCAAAGUUUUAGAAUAUAAGGAGUUGUUCUCUUCGUAUUUCAGUUUUGUAGUUUUGAGUUUUGAGUGGUUGUUUUGAAAUUAUUGAAAACCCGUUCUUUUUGUCAUUCUGGAAAACAGUUUUUGGAAACAUAGAACUGAAAAAUGAGCUUACUUUAAAAUUUUGAGAAUAUUUUUUAUAAUAUUUUAUUCAAGAAAUUUGAUAAUUCAAUAAAUUUUAUCAAAUCCUCGCAUAAUAUGCUGUAAAAUGUAAAUGCCUAAAGCCUUUGAUUCGAAAUAAUGUUCCCAAGUGUAUCUCAUAAGAACUUUUAGCAACAAAUGAAUAAUUCACAAAAACUACCAUGCAUACUGAAAAUAAGGAGAAAAAUAGAAUAAAGUCUAAAUCCAAUGGACAUAAUCAGAUUUGUGAUAAUACAUGAGUGUUUGCCAAUUCCUAGUGAUUUGAAUUCAAUCUCAUUCAUCUGAUAAUGAGACCUAUCUCCAGCAAAAAGACUUCAAAAAUUUCUUAUCCAAACUAAGACUACCAGUUUACAGACUCCUUAAGAAACAUUAAAUAGCCAACAAGGUAAUGAAAGUCGCCUCAUUUUCAACAUCCAAUUUCGAAAAUUUCAAUAACAGUAAGUAGCCAACAAAUUCAAUAACAUUUAAGAAACCAUAAAUAAAUGUGCAAAAACUAAACUUAACCCAUUCAAAAAACCAACCUUGAAGUUUGGAAAGCAUAAUUGAUUGUUUUCAUCAAAAAAAUUUCAUCAAUUUUGUUGGGACCGAAUCUGCCACACAACUCACGGAUUGCUUUAACGAGCUCAUUCGAAUCUGGACAAAAUUGCAGGUAACCCAUGGUGGUACUGGAUGCGCCUGGUUGGGAGGAGUGGAAUGGUGGUGGUCCGCGCUCGAAAACGGUGGCCGACGGCAUUAGAAAUAUGGAGAAAAUCGUGACUAGUAGCGUGGUUUUGGGGUGAUUAGAGUUGUUUUGGACAACUUCGUGGUCAGGUGAUGACAAGAGGUUGAAGAGGAAAGUGAGGGAGUUCGAAUGGUUGUAAAAUCUAGUGUUCUAGGUGGUGGGUGGUGGUCGAUUGUUGAGGAAGAAGGUAGCGAGUCUUCAUUGGUUCUUUGCUCUUACGCACGGUAAUGGAAAAUGGUUUGUUUUGUGUGUUUUCAAUUUUCCCGUGAAAAUGUACAAAACGUCUUUUUUGACGUUUUGUGUUUUUAGUACAUUUUUUUUUCGAAGAGUCAUUUUCGAAAAUGGGAGGAGAACGCGUUUUCACUGUUUUGAAAAAUCGAAAACAGAAAACGACUUAAAAACAGCAAAGAGAAUAGCCCCUAAUGUUUUAUUGUAGACAGAGAAAUUAAUAUAUUCAUUCAAUUUAACGAAACAAAUUAAUGG